AAGAGCCUGAGAAGUUUGGAACAAGUAUAAGAUCUCUGACCGUCACUACAUCAGGUGUUUGAUUCACGACCAUGUGCAGUAGUACCGACUGUCUCACUUCAAAAGAAAAGAGACGAGGCACAGCGAGAGGCAACGGUUUUAUUUUCAAACGCCGUAGAGCUCCACAGAAGGGUGUUAGUGUCGAGACCACGAGUCCUCAACAUCACAGACAGGCAAACACAGAGAAGACAGGACGGACGACACCAACGACGGGUAACUUUUGAGCCUGCGUAGCAACAGCACGCGAUACCGACGACCUCCAACACAACACCAGCGUGUGCAUCUGGCUCUCUAAUAGCCAUCAGGAGGAAAUCCAGUAUCCAUAACAUACGGUAAAAAGCAAAAAAGGCGAACAGUACUGCUCAAUGGAAGACAAGUGAAGUCAGAACAAACCAUCAAAAAUACAAAAACAAAUAAUUGUGGGCUGGCUUAAAUAUAUUUCUCUGAGCAAACGGCUCAAUCAGUCUCAAAAUACACUUGUUUCUUCACUAAGACAAUACUGGGGCUUUUGCCAAUUUACGAAAAACACACAUUUUACAUUAAUGUUGGCCAAUGUUCUUCUUUUUUUCCUACCCAUACCCCAACUUCUAAGCAGCCAUUAGUUUAACGACUCCAGUAGCCCAGCAUUAGUUGUAAUAGUAAAGUGAUCACUUCAGUCACUUAUGUGGUACAUUCAGGUGCUGGUGUAACACUCAGGUUUCAAGAAUUCAGCGUUGGUUGCUGUAAUGCACUUAGUACACGGGUCAUAAUGUCCAAAACUCAAAAUCAGACGGGAGAAAAGAAAAUCAGAUUGAGAACUUGAAAAGGUUAAGUCGUGUGGAUUAUUGUCGCCAACCUCCAGCUGGGAGAAUUAAAUCUCCAGCACAAAAGUAUGCAAGCAGCCUUUCAGUCACAUCAGCAGAUAACAACAGUACUGUGAUGAUAAGGAAACCCAGCCGGAAGUUAAAUUAAGCACUUAAAUUAAGGAAAUCUACAGACUGCUGAGAAAAACACAAACAAGAAUACUACAUGAAGAAAACCGGCAGUAUUAUUUACUACUCGUGGUUUGUAGUCCUCUUGGCUAUUUAUGGCCUUCAUAUGCAAUAUGAUGUCAGUCAGUUAACAAUAUCAGCCAUUUAAAAUAAGCACUACAUUAAUAGGUGUGUUCAGUCUACUGCUAGAGAGAUGUAGAAUAUUAUUAAAAAGGGUCAGUCCAUCCAAAUAAGGAAAUUGUAAUAAUGAAAGAAAUAAAUGUCCCACUUCCCAGGUUAACCGUGGUGUUUAAAUCUUUAAAAUACUCACCUGUCAAGAACAAAUGUCAAAGUUACUCUGUAUAAUCCAAAGACUCUGUUGAGUUAUAUCCCACAUUUCACUUUUUCAAAACAUAGCAUUUUGAUAAUUUGAUCAUCUCAAAUUAAAUGACAUUAAACUCAAGUGUACACAGCAGGAAUCAAAGAAGCCGACUUCUCAAAACAGCAGCAUUUAACCAAAACUAUCCUCCGAGAUCAUUCUAAGAGUAAGUAGGAAAAUAGGUUUUGAACUGACCCUCUAAGAUAUAGAAUAUAAAAAGGAUGAUUCAUUGAGAACCUUGUUGUAUCAUAUUGGACAUUUUACCAAACAAUUUCCACAAAUGGUGCAAAAACAGCUGCGGAAAAAUAUAUAGUUUGGGCCCCAAAGAGCAGGAGUUUGUCCACCGUCGUCUUUGUGGUGGGAAACAACUAAAUUCCGUUAAAUGCAAAGACAUCACAGUGCUGAGCAGCGUGAACAUGAGCGGCAAUAAACAAAAUGGUUGGUGAAGCGUACAGUCCUGAAAAUAGAGACAUCUCUCUCUCUCUCUCUCUCUCUCCUCUUUUGCAAUUGAAGUUGAGUCAUUAGUUAUGAGGCACCGCAGUGUUUGACUAAAUAACUUGGUGUUUUUUUUCUUGGUGUCAAAGCAUCUUUUGGUCAAGCAGAAAGAGCAGCGAGACGAGGGGCGGCUUCCAAAUGCAUCCAAAAGCACCGGGGAGAAGUGCACCUGUCACACCCACCUCGCCCUCCCUGACUCUAGUCGUCCACGGUGAUGUUGCGGAACAAGUAGGCCAUGGACUCUCCGUUGUGGAUGCGGCGGAUGGCCUCAGCCAAUAUCAUGCUGACGUCCACAGUCUUGAUUUUGGGACACUGUAGCUUCUGUACUUCAUGUGGGACAGUGUUGGUCACCACCACCUGAGGGUUGAAUAAUCAGAGAUUGCAUUUAGACUUAAUGAGACAGUUUAAAAGCAAUUUACCGGUGCAAUUUCUAGUCGGGCUGAAAGGUUUAUACGGCAGUGACAGCAGGAUUCGGUCAUGAGGAAACUCAAGAGACCAUCGUUGUAUAAAAACUACCCUAGUGUACCUCCUUCACCUGUGAACUGUGGUAACUAACUGCUGCAAUGUGAUUGGUUGAUGGUUAAAGAAAACUGAUUAGAGGUGAAAUUGUACAACUUUUGAAUGCAUAAAAAGCAAAAAAAAGGUUGACUAUACGGAUUGUUUUCUGAGUACUGGACAGUUAGGAGGAACUGAAAUUUGAAGCUAUAAGUUUACAGAAAUACAACUGCAAUAUAAUGAUCCUUUCUAGUUAUAGCAGAGUUAUCUUAUUCCAUAACAAAGCAGCUGAAAAGUCCUCCACUAGGAGGAAGUAUCAUCUUUCAUAUUGUGUUUAUAAAGAAUAGCCGAGUAAGAAAGGGGAACAUUAUCUGCAGCUUUCAAACAGGCGUUUCAGUUUCUACCUCUUUAGCUUCCAUUAUGAUAUUGUACAGUAUGAAUCAGACUCAACAAGAAGGUUAUUGAAAAUAACACUUGUCCUCACUUCAUCAAUGGCUGAUUCCUCGAUGAGACGUGGAGCGUCAGCGGACAGUAACCCGUGUGUGGCCAUGAUAUAAAUCUUAUAGGCUCCCCUCUCUUUCAGGAUCUCAGCAGCUGCAACAAAGUCUCCGACAUCAUCGAUGAUGUCAUCCUGGAAGAAGAAAGGAACAAUACUUUUAUUUGAAAAACAAGUCAGUGAAUUGACUUGGGAUCGCCUGUUAUACAUGAAAAUUCAUUGUUAGCCACCACAAGCAGCUGGUCAUAACAGACCACAUUAUGCUGGAGCAGCAAAACACCCAGUCUUAUAUUGAAACAGGAAGAAAGUGUCAUUAAUUCUUCAAAAUUACAGUCUCACUUUCGAAUGCAACUCAAUAAGCAUGAAUAGUUACAUUCGUCCCAAGUUAUUAUAUAGGAAUUUAAUAGUGGUAGUGAAUUAAUUCUUCAAUACGCCAUAAAUAUGAACUAUAAAGAGUUAGUCACAAGACGGCAGAGCAGCCGAAUUCACAGCAUCUUACCACAAUGAUGGCAAUUCUCCCUCCCACGUCUCCGACUACAGUUAUGGGAGGUUUCUCCUUGGCCAUCAUCACUGAAAAGGAAAGCAGAACUUGUUACUGCGAGUGCACUUGAGCUCAUGUGUACUGCGCUUUUUCCAAUCUAAAAUAAGUCUCAGUAGAUUGGGUAAAAUGGGUUGAGAAAAUGUUUUGCGAUUUAGGCAAAUUAUGCAUCCUGAAUUGUGGUGGCCGUUAUUGAAUUAUGUAAAUGAUUUCUGUUAGAUUAACACAAUGCUGUAAUAAAAAAAUGUCAAUCGA
This is a long non-coding RNA of Cyclopterus lumpus (lumpfish), 3647 nucleotides long. RefSeq lists it as uncharacterized. The record is from RefSeq and is a predicted model, not a curated record. The transcript is spliced from 3 exons. NCBI's taxonomy places the organism in Eukaryota, Metazoa, Chordata, Actinopteri, Perciformes, Cyclopteridae.